CCUUGAAAUACCACCCUUUAAUGUUUGAUGUUCUAACGUUGACCCGUGAUCCGGGUUGCGGACAGUGUCUGGUGGGUAGUUUGACUGGGGCGGUCUCCUCCUAAAGAGUAACGGAGGAGCACGAAGGUUGGCUAAUCCUGGUCGGACAUCAGGAGGUUAGUGCAAUGGCAUAAGCCAGCUUGACUGCGAGCGUGACGGCGCGAGCAGGUGCGAAAGCAGGUCAUAGUGAUCCGGUGGUUCUGAAUGGAAGGGCCAUCGCUCAACGGAUAAAAGGUACUCCGGGGAUAACAGGCUGAUACCGCCCAAGAGUUCAUAUCGACGGCGGUGUUUGGCACCUCGAUGUCGGCUCAUCACAUCCUGGGGCUGAAGUAGGUCCCAAGGGUAUGGCUGUUCGCCAUUUAAAGUGGUACGCGAGCUGGGUUUAGAACGUCGUGAGACAGUUCGGUCCCUAUCUGCCGUGGGCGCUGGAGAACUGAGGGGGGCUGCUCCUAGUACGAGAGGACCGGAGUG
RNAcentral lists this ribosomal RNA (510 nucleotides) under Escherichia coli. RNAcentral's name for it is "partial 23S ribosomal RNA". It matches the Rfam family "Bacterial large subunit ribosomal RNA", at positions 2190 to 2699 of the family's 2925-position model. Lineage: Bacteria; Pseudomonadati; Pseudomonadota; Gammaproteobacteria; Enterobacterales; Enterobacteriaceae. The record is from RNAcentral.